CUUUCUUUCUUUCUGUCUGUCUUUCUUCGUGCAUGGGUAUUGGAAAUAGUUAAACCACACUGUUGAAAGUUUCUGUAAAUACAUAAUUUUAUCGCUUUUAUUGAUUACAUAAUUCCGACUUCUCAAAAUGACAGAAGAAAAUGAGAUUCCUCACGAACUAUAUACCCUUCCUCCAAUAAAUAUAUAAACACGACACUGUAGUAUGAGUAUAUAUCAUAAACAUUAUGAUAAUAUAAUCCAGGAAGAAAUACAUGUAGUACAAGGGCGUCGAAACGUACAUACACUGCAACACCGUAGGUGUUCACUCAACACCAUUUGAGAAUCUACAUCUGUCCACAUCCGAAAGGUGUUGAAAACCCCUUGUUCAGGAUCAACCCGGUGUCGUUUUAGCACCAUCCGGUGUUAGCCCAAAUCCCAAAUGGUAUCGUUUUAACACUUCCUGGUGUGGAUAGAUAUAGAUUAUCGUUUGGUGUUGGAUUGACACCUAAGUUUUUGCGGUGUAUAAUUAAUCAAGAUGAAACAGUUCGAUUAUAUUACACUUCCUACCACAGUAUACAGUACAGAUUCCUUUUCAAAAAAAUAAAGUUUAUUGAUGGCAAAAUAGAACCAUUCAAGAGAUACUGUACAUUAUAUUGUACAUCAUUAUGAAAAGUCAAGUUUGAGAUCAGGAUGAGGGGGAUAUGAACAAAUAACGUACAGGCAGCACCGUUAGAAUUGUGAAUUUGUAUGGUAAGCCUUCUUUCUCGAGUUCAUCACAUAAUUUAGUAGUUUUCACGAGCGUGUUUCUGGGUUGAUAAUCAGGGUUUAUUGCCACACACCGCUAAAAUUUACUGUCAAAAGGCGUUAUGUCAAAUUAUGUCUCACCGUUCUCACGUACAUCUCAGCGAAUAAUAUUGAUCAAAUUAUCAAAUUGCCACUUCUCUACUUAGGUUUCCCAAAUCCGUCCAAUAUCCAUUUGGUCUAUUACCAGUUGGUCUACUUACUAAGAAAGAACAAGCGGUAGUACACCAAGGGAGAAGUAGAAAAAAUUGGUUUUUAGACGGACUCCGGAAGAAAACGAGCACCCCCCAAAAAAAAAAAUCAACUAGAAUGAAAAGAUAUGUCAAAAAGGGCACUUUUCAUUUGUGACCUUUAAACAAAGGUCAUCUCAUCUCGUGAGGUGAAUGUAGACCUGGCAGGAUUUUCCCCUUAAAAAGCAGAAGCUCGUAACAGCUGCCCUGCUGAAACCAGUGAAUAUUACGCUGCAUUUUGUAUUUUAUUUUAGGGGGAGGGGGUAAUAAAAAAACAGGAAAAUGCUUGGAGGAUUAUCGAAAAAGUACUAUAAACUCAAACAAAGUUUAACAAAGUUAAACAAUUUUCACACAUCUAGAUUAUGCACACUCAAAGUCAUGAAGUAUUAAGAAUCAACACUUUCAGAAGUUACUUGGAGAGAGAAAUUCAAAAGCAUUAAGUUGAGCACCUUAAAAUAAAGCAUCACAAACCAGAGUUGAAAUAGAUUCCAUUUAGCAUGAAUUCAAAGAAUAAUUUGUUUCUCUGAGUAAACGUUACAUUUAUGAUUAGGUUUAACCAUGAAUGGUAUAAUUUCAUUAUUUUUUUCUACUCUUUGAAGGCAAAUGCAGAACUUUCAAUCAUGACCGGACGCGAUUUUUGCAUAGGUAGCGAUUUUUUCCUGUCAGUACUUGUGUGUAACCGAGAGGGCAAGCAUAUCGUAGCUUUUUCAUGAAUACUUUAUGGAAAUGACGAUAUAAUAGUGAAAAAAAUACAAGACCAAAAUUUGUAGUCUGAUUCAAAGCCUCCCAAGCAGUUGUGUGCACAAGUACUGACCGAAAGAAAUCGCUACCUGGACGUUCUUGAGGUGCUCGGAAAAUGAUUAUUUCCCCUUGUAUACGAUCACUUUCUCAUGCAGUUUUAAGCUUUAAUUUACACACUUUAUUCCGUUUAGUUUGUGGUGCUCUCAGCUGACUUCCAAUUUAAAGUAAUAUGACUAUCAUCAUCAUCAUCAUCAUAGUCAUCAUUGCCAUCACCAUCAUCGAAACUAUCACCACCGCAAUCAUUUCUGAUAUCACUGUCUUCAUGACGAUCAUUGAAAAUCAUAUCCAGCAUAAUUACCAUCAUCACAAUCAACAGUGUCAUCAUCAUCAUAUCAUCAUCACCCCUGCUCCCUCAUCAUUGUCGCCUUCAAUUAAUCAUCAUCUCCUCUAUUAUUUAGAUCCUGCGCUAACAAACAUCCUUAGUCACUUCAACCAUCCUGCCUGUGGGGAAUCUACAGGUAGGAAUAUAGUAUGCCAAUGCUGUACAUAACA
RNAcentral lists this long non-coding RNA (2303 nucleotides) under Lytechinus variegatus (green sea urchin). Its description in RNAcentral is "uncharacterized LOC121405562". Lineage: Eukaryota; Metazoa; Echinodermata; Echinoidea; Temnopleuroida; Toxopneustidae. The record is from RNAcentral.